RNAcentral lists this ribosomal RNA (344 nucleotides) under uncultured bacterium. RNAcentral describes it as "bacterial SSU rRNA". It matches the Rfam family "Bacterial small subunit ribosomal RNA", at positions 8 to 334 of the family's 1533-position model. The record is from RNAcentral.
AGGGUUUGAUUAUGGCUCAGGAUGAACGCUGGCGGCGUGCUUAACACAUGCAAGUCGAACGAAGCACUUUUACAGAUUUCUUCGGAAUGAAGUUUUAGUGACUGAGUGGCGGACGGGUGAGUAACGCGUGGGUAACCUGCCUCACACAGGGGGAUAACAGUUGGAAACGGCUGCUAAUACCGCAUAAGCGCACAGUACCGCAUGGUACAGUGUGAAAAACUCCGGUGGUGUGAGAUGGACCCGCGUCUGAUUAGCUAGUUGGCAGGGCAACGGCCUACCAAGGCGACGAUCAGUAGCCGACCUGAGAGGGUGACCGGCCACAUUGGGACUGAGACACGGCCCAA